Long non-coding RNA from Pan troglodytes (chimpanzee), 307 nucleotides. RefSeq lists it as uncharacterized. The transcript has 2 exons. NCBI's taxonomy places the organism in Eukaryota, Metazoa, Chordata, Mammalia, Primates, Hominidae. The record is from RefSeq and is a predicted model, not a curated record.
CGGACCGGAAGUUGGGGUGACGCAAUUUCCGGCGCGCGUGUCAAGCGUGCGGCGGCGGCCGUGGAAGGGAACUCCCUCCACUAGAAUAUGAGCUCCUUGUGGUCAAGACUGGGUCCCCUGUUCCCUUCCCCCCAGUGCCAGCGGAGCGAAGGUCAGUCAGCGGCAUAAGUUGUACCUGCUGGGAGAACUGUCUGCUUCCUCCGGGUGACUUUUCUGGCCAAGAAGGAAUAUGAGUAUGUGCCUCCCUGAGCACUGGCCUGGAGCCCACUCAGGAAACACCAUCUCUUCAUAAAUGGUUUUGAUUGCA